AAGGAGUACCUUAAUAAGUUUAUUUUUUAUCAUAUUUCAUGCCAAUGUAUUUGAAAGUCUUUUUUUUUUAAAUGGACAUGUUAGGCGGUGGUUGGAAGAUAUUUUUCAUCUAGUCCAUGUCCUUCCUCAUCGACUAAACUAAAUUAAAAGCCUAAUUUAGACUGCAUAAUCAUCACAUCCGGACGCAAAAGAAAUUAUGUGUGCAACAUUGCUCCAAUAUUCCCCCCUGACCCAUCA
Molecule: long non-coding RNA, 237 nt
Filed under: Brachypodium distachyon (stiff brome)
Lineage: Eukaryota; Viridiplantae; Streptophyta; Magnoliopsida; Poales; Poaceae
Description: long non-coding RNA (BDIS_LNC003629)
Source: RNAcentral